CCUCGACAGAGUCGACAUGGGAAGGAUGUUUCCAAAAAUGGGACCGUCUAGGACCACAGCCUCUGAAUAAAGGGACUACUCUUUCGAACAGAGGUGCACCAUGCAAAACAGUCCGUCACGGGUAAAGCCCUCCCCACCAUUAAGCAAUCUGUAUGAAGUGCUGGUGCAGGAAAUCGGCAUCCAUCAUCAAGGACCCCCAUCAUGCAGACCAUUCUCUCUUCUCACAGUGGUCGUCAGGGAGGAGGUACUGGAGCCUCAAGACUCACAACACCAGGCUGAUAACAACUUUACUUUGAACUUUGAUGCUGACCAGAUGAAUCACGGCUUGGUCUGGCAACUGUUCUGUCUGUGACCUCAAGAGACGGCAGAGCUGUGGACACAUCUCAGCAGGUACUCCGUAACCUCAUCCUUGACAAUCGACUCCAACAACUUCCCAACCACGGAUGUCAAGCUAACAGACAAAGACUGACAAACAAUCAAGGUUCGUAAAAGGACAAACUGUGCAAGUAAAAGCGAUAUUCAGAACGUCAGCUGUAAAGACCUUCAGAGUGAGUCCGCAGGUUGUGGAAUCAGUUUAGUGUUGAGGUGAGUGAAGUUAUCCACACUGGUUCAGGAG
This is a long non-coding RNA of Mobula hypostoma (lesser devil ray), 616 nucleotides long. RefSeq lists it as uncharacterized. The transcript is spliced from 4 exons. The record is from RefSeq and is a predicted model, not a curated record. NCBI's taxonomy places the organism in Eukaryota, Metazoa, Chordata, Chondrichthyes, Myliobatiformes, Myliobatidae.